Molecule: ribosomal RNA, 253 nt
Filed under: uncultured bacterium
Lineage: Bacteria
Description: partial 16S ribosomal RNA
Rfam family: Bacterial small subunit ribosomal RNA
Source: RNAcentral
UACGUAGGUGGCAAGCGUUGUCCGGAAUUAUUGGGCGUAAAGCGCGCGCAGGCGGUCCUUUAAGUCUGAUGUGAAAGCCCACGGCUCAACCGUGGAGGGUCAUUGGAAACUGGGGGACUUGAGUGCAGGAGAGAAGAGUGGAAUUCCACGUGUAGCGGUGAAAUGCGUAGAGAUCAGGAGGAACACCCGUGGCGAAGGCGGCCCUCUGGCUCGACCCUGACGCUGAGAGGCGAAAGCGUGGGGAGCGAACGGG